Molecule: ribosomal RNA, 464 nt
Filed under: uncultured bacterium
Lineage: Bacteria
Description: partial 16S ribosomal RNA
Rfam family: Bacterial small subunit ribosomal RNA
Source: RNAcentral
CUACGGGCUGCUCCAGUGGGGAAUAUUGCACAAUGGGCGCAAGCCUGAUGCAGCCAUGCCGCGUGUAUGAAGAAGGCCUUCGGGUUGUAAAGUACUUUCAGCGGGGAGGAAGGGAGUAAAGUUAAUACCUUUGCUCAUUGACGUUACCCGCAGAAGAAGCACCGGCUAACUCCGUGCCAGCAGCCGCGGUAAUACGGAGGGUGCGAGCGUUAAUCGGAAUUACUGGGCGUAAAGCGCACGCAGGCGGUUUGUUCAGUCGGAUGUGAAAUCCCCGGGCUCAACCUGGGAACUGCAUCCGAUACUGGCGGGCUUGAGUAUGGUAGAGGGGGGUAGAAUUCCAGGUGUAGCGGUGAAAUGCGUAGAGAUCUGGAGGAAUACCGGUGGCGAAGGCGGCCCCCUGGACGAAGACUGACGCUCAGGUGCGAAAGCGUGGGGAGCAAACAGGAUUAGAUACCCCAGUAGUC